ACGCUCGACACCUACGGAAGGCAGCAGUGAGGAAUAUUGGUCAAUGGGCGCUAGCCUGAACCAGCCAAGUAGCGUGAAGGAUGAAGGCUCUAUGGGUCGUAAACUUCUUUUAUAUAAGAAUAAAGUGCAGUAUGUAUACUGUUUUGUAUGUAUUAUAUGAAUAAGGAUCGGCUAACUCCGUGUCAGCAGCCGCGGUAAUCUGAGCGGGCUGGCAAGGC
RNAcentral lists this ribosomal RNA (218 nucleotides) under uncultured bacterium. RNAcentral's name for it is "partial 16S ribosomal RNA". It matches the Rfam family "Bacterial small subunit ribosomal RNA", at positions 326 to 539 of the family's 1533-position model. The record is from RNAcentral.